GUAGGUGGCAAGCGUUGUCCGGAAUUAUUGGGCGUAAAGCGCGCGCAGGCGGUUCUUUAAGUCUGAUGUGAAAGCCCACGGCUCAACCGUGGAGGGUCAUUGGAAACUGGAGAACUUGAGUACAGAAGAGGAAAGCGGAAUUCCACGUGUAGCGGUGAAAUGCGUAGAGAUGUGGAGGAACACCAGUGGCGAAGGCGGCUUUCUGGUCUGUAACUGACGCUGAGGCGCGAAAGCGUGGGGAGCAAACAGGAUUAGAUACCCUGGUAGUCCACGCCGUAAACGAUGAGUGCUAAGUGUUAGGGGGUUUCCGCCCCCCUUAGUGCUGCAGCUAACGCAUUAAGCACUCCGCCUGGAUACGGCCGCAAGGCUG
RNAcentral lists this ribosomal RNA (370 nucleotides) under uncultured organism. RNAcentral's name for it is "partial 16S ribosomal RNA". It matches the Rfam family "Bacterial small subunit ribosomal RNA", at positions 527 to 896 of the family's 1533-position model. The record is from RNAcentral.